RNAcentral lists this ribosomal RNA (284 nucleotides) under Pseudodifflugia cf. gracilis. RNAcentral describes it as "partial small subunit ribosomal RNA". The stretch from base 87 to 284 matches the Rfam family "Eukaryotic small subunit ribosomal RNA", at positions 733 to 932 of the family's 1831-position model. Lineage: Eukaryota; Endomyxa; Gromiida; Pseudodifflugiidae. The record is from RNAcentral.
GAUUUCUGGAGUGAUUGGCUUGACCCGCUUCGCAAGAGGUGUGUGUCGACGUCGGUCUUCCAUCUUUGUAGGUUUCUGUGCGCAAGCACGGAAUUCUUACAUCUUUUACUUUGAAAAAAUUAGAGUGUUUAAAGCAGGCUUCUGCUAUGAAUACAUUAGCAUGGAAUAAUAAGAUAGGACUUCGGUUCUAUUUUGUUGGUUUCUAGAAUUGAAGUAAUGAUUGAUAGGGAUAGUUGGGGGUGCUAGUAUUCAGCGGCCAGAGGUGAAAUUCUUGGAUUCGCUGA